UACGAAGGGGGCUAGCGUUGCUCGGAAUCACUGGGCGUAAAGCGCACGUAGGCGGAUUGUUAAGUCAGGGGUGAAAUCCUGGAGCUCAACUCCAGAACUGCCUUUGAUACUGGCGAUCUUGAGUCCGGGAGAGGUGAGUGGAACUGCGAGUGUAGAGGUGAAAUUCGUAGAUAUUGGGAAGAACACCGGUGGCGAAGGCGGCCAACUGGACCACAACUGACGCUGAGGCGCGAAAGCGUGGGGAGCAAACAGG
This 253-nucleotide ribosomal RNA is filed under the name uncultured bacterium. RNAcentral's name for it is "partial 16S ribosomal RNA". It matches the Rfam family "Bacterial small subunit ribosomal RNA", at positions 524 to 776 of the family's 1533-position model. The record is from RNAcentral.